This 251-nucleotide ribosomal RNA is filed under the name uncultured bacterium. Its description in RNAcentral is "partial 16S ribosomal RNA". It matches the Rfam family "Bacterial small subunit ribosomal RNA", at positions 525 to 775 of the family's 1533-position model. The record is from RNAcentral.
ACGUAGGUCACAAGCGUUGUCCGGAAUUACUGGGUGUAAAGGGAGCGCAGGCGGGCGAUCAAGUUGGAAGUGAAAUCCAUGGGCUCAACCCAUGAACUGCUUUCAAAACUGGUCGUCUUGAGUAGUGCAGAGGUAGGCGGAAUUCCCGGUGUAGCGGUGGAAUGCGUAGAUAUCGGGAGGAACACCAGUGGCGAAGGCGGCCUACUGGGCACCAACUGACGCUGAGGCUCGAAAGUGUGGGUAGCAAACAG